UGGGGUGUGGCCAAGCGGUAAGGCAGCGGUUUUUGGUACCGUGCAUCGGAGGUUCGAAUCCUUCCACCCCAG
Molecule: transfer RNA, 72 nt
Filed under: Chlamydia pneumoniae
Lineage: Bacteria; Pseudomonadati; Chlamydiota; Chlamydiia; Chlamydiales; Chlamydiaceae
Also listed under: 6 other names
Description: tRNA-Gln
Rfam family: tRNA
About the family: Transfer RNA (tRNA) molecules are approximately 80 nucleotides in length. Their secondary structure includes four short double-helical elements and three loops (D, anti-codon, and T loops).
Source: RNAcentral